GACGAACGCUGGCGGCGUGCUUAACACAUGCAAGUCGAACGGACAGGCCUCUUUCGGGGGGUACUCGAGUGGCGAACGGGUGAGUAACUCGUGAGUAGACUGCCCUUGACUUUGGGAUAACUUCAGUAAACUAGGGCUAGUACCGGAUAGGAGCUCCUGCUGCAUGGUGGGGGUUGGAAAGAUUCGGGGGCUGGGGGUGGACUGGCGGCGUAUCAGCUUGUUGGUGGGGAAGUGGCUUACCAAGGCUUUGACGGGUAGCCGGACUGUGACGGUGAUCGGCGACACUGGGACCGACAGACGGCCCAGAUGCGGAAGGGUGGGCGAAGGGGGGAAUCUUGCCCGAUGGGUGGCAGGCGGAUGAAGCAGCGCCGUGGGUGGGAAAACGGCCUUCGGGUUGAAAAACGCUUUCGUUCAUGACGAAGCAUUGUGUGACGGUAGUGGGUAAAGAAGCACCGGCUAACUACGUG
RNAcentral lists this ribosomal RNA (467 nucleotides) under uncultured bacterium. RNAcentral's name for it is "partial 16S ribosomal RNA". It matches the Rfam family "Bacterial small subunit ribosomal RNA", at positions 28 to 507 of the family's 1533-position model. The record is from RNAcentral.